AGUCAAUUUUUUUCAAAAAAAAAAAGGUGUUUCGGAAGUGAAUCUCUGAAACUAAUUUUUUUCUUCAUAAAAAGUGGUCUUCGGAGAUUCAUUUCCGAAACAAAGCUGCAUUAUGAGAAUUUUGCUACGGGUGAGCAAAAGGACAAAGGGGUCUACAAAGAAAAUCUCAUAAUCUACAAUAUAAGAAAGUUUAUGGGUCUGGAAAUACCAAAAUUGCUCUGCUUGCUCACUAGCGCUCCACGUGGAUAGCUUCUCCAGCCUUCCUUCUUUUAGAUUUUACAAAAGCACUGCUUGGAUGCAAAGAAAAUGUUCAAGAUUUCUUAGGGUUUGUGCAAUAGAAGAUGCAGAUGAACAAAUAGAUAAACAAAGGUGAUAAAAUAUUGUAGCUUGAUAGAAUUUAUGGGGAGCUGUUGAAAUUGCUAAAGUGUCCACAUGCUAUUACUUAUGUUCUGCCUGCUAAAAAAAGCAGGAAAUAAGAAGCAACAACACAAAGGUACAUACUGAUACCUACAAAAAAUAAAGCUCUUAUUUUGAUGACUAUAUUUAGAAAGUUGUUCUGAGGAAGAAGAAAAUCCAAGAAAUCAAUGAACAAGUUGUGGAAGAAUAUUGAUGGAGAGAAAUAUUAAUGAAGGAUAUUGAUGAGUAAAAAUAUUUGUUGAAAUUAAAUACACUUAAAUGUCAUUAAUUUUUCAUAAUCUUUUUUAUAAUACUAAUUUAAUUUUGAUUAAUAAUAUACAAAUUUGUUUAUGUUAUAUAA
Molecule: long non-coding RNA, 757 nt
Organism: Vicia villosa (hairy vetch)
Lineage: Eukaryota; Viridiplantae; Streptophyta; Magnoliopsida; Fabales; Fabaceae
Exons: 6
Source: RefSeq, a predicted model, not a curated record